AGCGGGGUGGAGCAGUGGUAGCUCGUUGGGCUCAUAACCCAGAGGUCGCCGGUUCGAGUCCGGCCCCCGCAACCA
RNAcentral lists this transfer RNA (75 nucleotides) under Candidatus Sumerlaeota bacterium. Its description in RNAcentral is "tRNA-Met". It matches the Rfam family "tRNA". Rfam says of the family: Transfer RNA (tRNA) molecules are approximately 80 nucleotides in length. The record is from RNAcentral. Lineage: Bacteria; Candidatus Sumerlaeota.